Triticum aestivum (bread wheat) is the source of this 575-nucleotide long non-coding RNA. RefSeq lists it as uncharacterized. The transcript is spliced from 3 exons. Lineage: Eukaryota; Viridiplantae; Streptophyta; Magnoliopsida; Poales; Poaceae. The record is from RefSeq and is a predicted model, not a curated record.
CCUUAAACCCCUUCUCCUUCCGUCCCUUCGUGUUACAAAGGCAGCGACGGAAGGGGGAAAUAAAAGGGGGGAAACAGGAAAACCAUUCUACAAUUCCUUCGAGCUUCCCUUCGUGCGAUGCUUCAGUUCUAGUCUAGGCUCUGCAUUUCGGAACACUUGAUAGUUAUGGACCGCCAGAGUUUGCUGUGGAGGGAUGAUCAGCAGUGGAGAUUAUUGACUAAAGAGGGGGACCUCCAGGCUUUCGACGCCAUGCAAUCCAAGAUGAAAUCUACGGCGUCUGCCCUUCUUCGGCGAUCUUUGAGGACGGCUUCCUGAUCUUCUCUUUUACGAUAUCUAGUUCUGUGCUGGCCUGCGUGCCAUGUGAGGCUGGUGGCCUUGUAAUGCUACUUAACUUCCUUGGUGUUUAAACUCUGAUUGGGUGUCGGGUGCUGGUGAUGUACUCUACCUGGUGGCUUUAUUUAUAAAGUCGGGCUCUUGCCUUUUCUCUAAAAAAAGGUUAAGCAGUUGUUUGCCAAGGAAGUGAACAUUUGUGUGGGGCUUUCCCAAAUGGUUUCUUAGACUUGUCAGCAACAAUA